Molecule: ribosomal RNA, 433 nt
Filed under: uncultured bacterium
Lineage: Bacteria
Description: partial 16S ribosomal RNA
Rfam family: Bacterial small subunit ribosomal RNA
Source: RNAcentral
AACGAACGCUGGCGGCAUGCCUAACACAUGCAAGUCGAACGAGACCUUCGGGUCUAGUGGCGCACGGGUGCGUAACGCGUGGGAACCUGCCCUUAGGUUCGGAAUAACUCCCCGAAAGGGGUGCUAAUACCGGAUAAUGUCUUCGGACCAAAGAUUUAUCGCCUUUGGAUGGGCCCGCGUUGGAUUAGCUAGUUGGUAGGGUAAAAGCCUACCAAGGCGACGAUCCAUAGCUGGUCUGAGAGGAUGAUCAGCCACACUGGGACUGAGACACGGCCCAGACUCCUACGGGAGGCAGCAGUGGGGAAUAUUGGACGAUGGGCGAAAGCCUGAUACAGCAAUGCCGCGUGAGUGAUGAAGGCCUUAGGGUUGUAAAGCUCUUUUACCCGGGAUGAUAAUGACAGUACCGGGAGAAUAAGCACCGGCUAACUCCGUG